AAACAUCGCCUCCUGCAACGCAACCGUGUAUAGGAGGUCCAGCCUGCCCAGUGACUACAAGUUCAACGGCCGCGGUAUUUUGACCGUGCAAAGGUAGCGCAAUCACUUGUCUUUUAAAUAAAGACCUGUAUGAAUGGCCAAACGAGGGCUUGACUGUCUCCCCUUUCCAGUCAGUGAAAUUGAUCUGCCCGUGCAGAAGCGGACAUAAGAAUACAAGACGAGAAGACCCUUUGGAGCUUAAGGUACAAAACUCAACCACGUCAAGCAACCCAAUAAAAAGCAAAAACUUUGUGGAACAUGAAAUUUUACCUUCGGUUGGGGCGACCACGGAGAAAAACAAAGCCUCCAAGUGGACUGGGAAAAUUCUCCUAAAACCAAGAGAAACAUCUCUAAGCCACAGAACAUCUGACCAAACAUGACCCGGCUACCCAUAAGCCGAUCAACGAACCAAGUUACCCCAGGGAUAACAGCGCAAUCCUCUCCCAGAGUCCAUAUCGACGAGGGGGUUUACGACCUCGAUGUUGGAUCAGGACAUCCUAAUGGUGCAGCCGCUAUUAAGGGUUCGUUUGUUCAACGAUUAAAGUCCUACGUGA
Molecule: ribosomal RNA, 593 nt
Filed under: Labeo cf. barbatus CTOL3951
Lineage: Eukaryota; Metazoa; Chordata; Actinopteri; Cypriniformes; Cyprinidae
Description: partial 16S ribosomal RNA
Rfam family: Bacterial large subunit ribosomal RNA
Source: RNAcentral